GGCUCAGGAUGAACGCUGGCGGCGUGCCUAAUACAUGCAAGUCGAGCGAACAGAUGAGAAGCUUGCUUCUCUGAUGUUAGCGGCGGACGGGUGAGUAACACGUGGGUAACCUACCUAUAAGACUGGGAUAACUCCGGGAAACCGGGGCUAAUACCGGAUAAUAUUUUGAACCGCAUGGUUCAAUAGUGAAAGACGGUUUCGGCUGUCACUUAUAGAUGGACCCGCGCCGUAUUAGCUAGUUGGUAAGGUAACGGCUUACCAAGGCGACGAUACGUAGCCGACCUGAGAGGGUGAUCGGCCACACUGGAACUGAGACACGGUCCAGACUCCUACGGGAGGCAGCAGUAGGGAAUCUUCCGCAAUGGGCGAAAGCCUGACGGAGCAACGCCGCGUGAGUGAUGAAGGUCUUCGGAUCGUAAAACUCUGUUGUUAGGGAAGAACAAAUUUGUUAGUAACUGAACAAGUCUGAC
This 470-nucleotide ribosomal RNA is filed under the name Mammaliicoccus sciuri. Its description in RNAcentral is "bacterial SSU rRNA". It matches the Rfam family "Bacterial small subunit ribosomal RNA", at positions 21 to 473 of the family's 1533-position model. The record is from RNAcentral. Lineage: Bacteria; Bacillati; Bacillota; Bacilli; Caryophanales; Staphylococcaceae.